UGGGGAAUAUUGCACAAUGGAGGGAACUCUGAUGCAGCGACGCCGCGUGAACGAAGAAGGCUUUCGAGUCGUAAAGUUCUUUUAUAUGGGAAGAUAAUUACGGUACCAUAAGAAAAAGCCCCGGCUAACUACGUGCCAGCAGCCGCGGUAAUACGUAGGGGGCUAGCGUUGUCCGGAAUCACUGGGCGUAAAGGGUUCGCAGGCGGAAAUGCAAGUCAGGUGUAAAAGGCAGUAGCUUAACUACUGUAAGCAUUUGAAACUGCAUAUCUUGAGAAGAGUAGAGGUAAGUGGAAUUUUUAGUGUAGCGGUGAAAUGCGUAGAUAUUAAAAAGAAUACCGGUGGCGAAGGCGACUUACUGGGCUCAUUCUGACGCUGAGGAACGAAAGCGUGGGUAGCAAACAGG
RNAcentral lists this ribosomal RNA (403 nucleotides) under bacterium. RNAcentral's name for it is "partial 16S ribosomal RNA". It matches the Rfam family "Bacterial small subunit ribosomal RNA", at positions 355 to 776 of the family's 1533-position model. The record is from RNAcentral. RNAcentral also lists the same sequence under 1 other name.